GACAGAGGGUGCAACCGUUGCUCGGAAUCACUGGGCGUAAAGGGCGCGUAGGCGGGAAUGUAAGUCGGGCGUGAAAUCCCUAGGCUCAACCUAGGAACUGCACUCGAAACUGCGUUUCUUGAGUAUCGGAGAGGAAAGCGGAAUUCCUGGUGUAGAGGUGAAAUUCGUAGAUAUCAGGAGGAACACCAGUGGCGAAGGCGGCUUGCUGGACGGUACUGACGCUGAGACGCGAAAGCGUGGGGAGCGAACAGG
Molecule: ribosomal RNA, 252 nt
Filed under: uncultured bacterium
Lineage: Bacteria
Description: partial 16S ribosomal RNA
Rfam family: Bacterial small subunit ribosomal RNA
Source: RNAcentral